UUGUCAUCUUGAGUUCUCCUGAUCACUUCAUUGGGAGCUGAUCCUUUCGGACCCUUCAUAACGAGGGUGUUCUGAGUUCUGCAAGCCUACUGAAGUGUUUGGGGGAACUCUGGCUGCCAC
This is a microRNA precursor of Corchorus capsularis, 120 nucleotides long. It matches the Rfam family "mir-395 microRNA precursor family". From Rfam's summary of the family: mir-395 was identified in both Arabidopsis thaliana and Oryza sativa computationally and was later experimentally verified. mir-395 is thought to target mRNAs coding for ATP sulphurylases. The mature sequence is excised from the 3' arm of the hairpin. NCBI's taxonomy places the organism in Eukaryota, Viridiplantae, Streptophyta, Magnoliopsida, Malvales, Malvaceae. The record is from Rfam.